CGCACAUUGCGCCCUUUGGUAUUCCGAAGGGCAUGCCCGUUCGAGCGUCAUUUCACCACUCAAGCUUGGCUUGGUAUUGGGCGCCGCGUCCUCCGCGCGCCUCAAAGUCUCCGGCCCCGUGGCCCGUCCCUGAGCGUUGUGGCACUUAUGUUCCGCUCUAGGUGACCGGUGGCGGUUGGCCGUUAAAACUCAUCAAAGGUUGACCUCGGAUCGGGUAGGGAUACCCGCUGAACUUAA
Molecule: unclassified non-coding RNA, 237 nt
Filed under: Stomiopeltis sp.
Lineage: Eukaryota; Fungi; Ascomycota; Dothideomycetes; Capnodiales
Description: partial contains 5.8S ribosomal RNA, internal transcribed spacer 2, and large subunit ribosomal RNA
Source: RNAcentral